This 200-nucleotide unclassified non-coding RNA is filed under the name Cadophora sp. Its description in RNAcentral is "partial internal transcribed spacer 2". Lineage: Eukaryota; Fungi; Ascomycota; Leotiomycetes; Helotiales; Ploettnerulaceae. The record is from RNAcentral.
UUAAGUUCAGCAGGUAUCCCUACCUGAUCCGAGGUCAACCUUGAAAAAAUUGGGGUUGCUGGCAAGCUACCGACAGACCCUAUCGCGAGAGAAUUACUACGCGAAGAGCCAACCGCGCCGCCACUGAGUUUAAGAGUCGCUGGUGUGCGAACUCCAAUACCAAGCCAGGCUUGAGUGGUGUAAAUGACGCUCGAACAGGC